Molecule: small RNA, 772 nt
Filed under: Pan troglodytes (chimpanzee)
Lineage: Eukaryota; Metazoa; Chordata; Mammalia; Primates; Hominidae
Description: processed transcript
Source: RNAcentral
AGGACCUUAAAUGGACACAAACGAGGCAUUGCCUGUUUGCAGUACAGGGACAGGCUGGUAGUGAGUGGCUCAUCUGACAACACUAUCAGAUUAUGGGACAUAGAAUGUGGUGCAUGUUUACGAGUGUUAGAAGGCCAUGAGGAAUUGGUGCGUUGUAUUCGAUUUGAUAACAAGAGGAUAGUCAGUGGGGCCUAUGAUGGAAAAAUUAAAGUGUGGGAUCUUGUGGCUGCUUUGGACCCCCGUGCUCCUGCAGGGACACUCUGUCUACGGACCCUUGUGGAGCAUUCCGGAAGAGUUUUUCGACUACAGUUUGAUGAAUUCCAGAUUGUCAGUAGUUCACAUGAUGACACAAUCCUCAUCUGGGACUUCCUAAAUGAUCCAGCUGCCCAAGCUGAACCCCCCCGUUCCCCUUCUCGAACAUACACCUACAUCUCCAGAUAAAUAACCAUACACUGACCUCAUACUUGCCCAGGUAUCGAAAUCGAUUAUGUACAUAACACUGUGGGUAGGAGACGGAAUAUUAGCUGUAAGGUGUUGCUAGUUCAUGGAGCUUUCUCCUGCCGUUUGGGUCACCAACUCCUGUAAAGCCGAGGAAGCAGACAAUGUGAGACAGGGCUGAAGCUGCCACAGUGUGGACAGUGCCUUUCACCAAGGUAGCCAGCCUCAGUUCUAGAUGAUUCUAGGGUCCUACUUGUGUGGUAAGCCUAGUCAUUCCUGCCCUAGUUAUCUAGUAGUACUGUUAUGAAAAUAAAAUGAGAUUUGAAUCAGUUUG